AUUGAACGCUGGCGGCAUGCUUAACGCAUGCAAGUCGAACGGCAGCACAGUGUGUAGCAAUACACAUGGGUGGCGAGUGGCGGACGGGUGCGUAACGCGUAGGAAUCUGCCCUGAAGCGGGGGACAACCCGAGGAAACUCGGGCUAAUACCGCAUAAUCUCGAGAGAGAAAAGCUGGGGAAACCUGGCACUUCAGGAGGAGCCUGCGUCCGAUUAGCUAGUUGGUAGGGUAAAAGCCUACCAAGGCGAUGAUCGGUAGCUGGUCUGAGAGGAUGAUCAGCCACACUGGGACUGAGACACGGCCCAGACCCCUACGGGAGGCAGCAGUGGGGAAUAUUGGACAAUGGGGGCAACCCUGAUCCAGCAAUGCCGCGUGUGUGAAGAAGGCCUUCGGGUUGUAAAGCACUUUAGUUGGGGAAGAAGAUGUGUAGUUUAAGAGAUGACACAUUUGACGGUACCCAAAGAAUAAGCACCGGCUAACUCUGUGCCAGCAGCCGCCGUAA
Molecule: ribosomal RNA, 502 nt
Filed under: uncultured bacterium
Lineage: Bacteria
Description: partial 16S ribosomal RNA
Rfam family: Bacterial small subunit ribosomal RNA
Source: RNAcentral